Paramuricea clavata is the source of this 215-nucleotide non-coding RNA. NCBI's taxonomy places the organism in Eukaryota, Metazoa, Cnidaria, Anthozoa, Malacalcyonacea, Plexauridae. The record is from the annotation of a GenBank genome assembly.
UCACAGAUGAGGUAAGUACAGAUAUGAAUCUCACGUCAAAUUGCUGAUUGUUUUGUGUCACACGGAAUUCUCACUUCCGGCGAGCGCUGGCAAGUGUCGUUCUGAAAUUUAAUAAGGAAAGAGAUAGGAAAACGCCGUUCGAAAGACGAAAAAUUGUUUUUUUAAAAAGUCUACGCUACCGACGGCUAUUUUGGGAAUUAAUUCUUCAAGAGUAA